GAUUAACGCUGGCGGCGUGCUUAACACAUGCAAGUCGAACGAUGAAGAUCUGUAUUAUUUCUUCUGAUCGAGUGAAUUAGGAUUAGAGUAACAACUGAUUAACCUGCCCUUGACUUUCUGACUUCUUCAAGAAAAUGGCCCUUGUACACGACUAAAACUCCUGCUGCAUGUAUCACUUCGCAUAAUUUCAUCGGCUGAGUAUGGACUCUCUAAUAAUCACUUUGUUCUGAUUAUAUAGGUUUACAGAAAAUUUCACACCAAGGCAACCAUGCAGAAGCUCACCUUGACAGUUGGUACCUGACAAUUGGGACUGACUCCUCCGGCCAGGACUCCUACGGGGAAUAUUGCACAAUGAAUUUUAACCCUGGUGCAGAAACCCUGAUGCCGCGACGCCGCGUCUUUUAGAAGGACUCCGCUUUCGCCUGAUCUUUUGCAUGAGAGAAAAAUGUGAGUACUAUACCACUAACUACCUGCUAGUUACCUGCCACCAUGAUCCGUAAUACGUAAGGACCGACCGUAUUCCUUAAUCAUUGAGCGUUCAGAGUACGUAGAUCGCUCCUUAAGUGAAAUCUCGAAGCUUAUCCCUCAGCUAUGCUUCGCUUCUAAAACUGGAGACCUUGAGUAAUGGAAGGGAAAGUGGAAUUCCUAGUGUAGCGGUGGAAUGCGCAGAUAUUAGGAGGAAUACCGGUGGCGGAGGCGACUUUCUGGCCAUUAACUGACGCUGAGGUACGAAAGCGUGGGUAGCAAACAGGAUUAGAUACCCUGGUAGUCCACGCCGUAAACGAUGAGUGUUAGGUGUCUGGAGUAAAUCUGGGUGCCGCAGCUAACGCAUUAAACACUCCGCCUGGGGAGUACGCACGCAAGUGUGAAACUCAAAGGAAUUGACGGGGACCCGCACAAGCAGCGGAGCAUGUGGUUUAAUUCAAAGCAACGCGAAGAACCUUACCAAGUCUUGACAUAUUUUGGAAGCACAUAGAGAUAAGUGCCUAUAUCUUCGGAUAACUGAAAUACAGGUGGUGCAUGGUUGUCGUCAGCUCGUGUCGUGAGAUGUUGGGUUAAGUCCCAUAACGAGCGCAACCCUUGUCUUAUGUUGCCAGCAUUUGGUUGGGGACUCAUGAGAGACCGCCGGGGUCAACUCGGAGGAAGGUGGGGAUGACGUCAAGUCAUCAUGCCCCUUAUGUCCAGGGCUUCACACAUGCUACAAUGGUCGGUACAACGCGCAGCGACCCUGUGAGGUGGAGCGAAUCUCGGAAAGCCGGCCUCAGUUCGGAUUGGGGUCUGCAACUCGACCUCAUGAAGUCGGAGUCGCUAGUAAUCGCAGAUCAGCAACGCUGCGGUGAAUACGUUCCCGGGCCU
Molecule: ribosomal RNA, 1356 nt
Filed under: uncultured bacterium
Lineage: Bacteria
Description: partial 16S ribosomal RNA
Rfam family: Bacterial small subunit ribosomal RNA
Source: RNAcentral